GCUUGCUCCUUGGGUGGCGAGUGGCGGACGGGUGAGGAAUACAUCGGAAUCUACUUUUUCGUGGGGGAUAACGUAGGGAAACUUACGCUAAUACCGCAUACGACCUACGGGUGAAAGCAGGGGACCUUCGGGCCUUGCGCGAUUGAAUGAGCCGAUGUCGGAUUAGCUAGUUGGCGGGGUAAAGGCCCACCAAGGCGACGAUCCGUAGCUGGUCUGAGAGGAUGAUCAGCCACACUGGAACUGAGACACGGUCCAGACUCCUACGGGAGGCAGCAGUGGGGAAUAUUGGACAAUGGGCGCAAGCCUGAUCCAGCCAUACCGCGUGGGUGAAGAAGGCCUUCGGGUUGUAAAGCCCUUUUGUUGGGAAAGAAAUCCAGCCGGCUAAUACCUGGUUGGGAUGACGGUACCCAAAGAAUAAGCACCGGCUAACUUCGUGCCAGCAGCCGCGGUAAUACGAAGGGUGCAAGCGUUACUCGGAAUUACUGGGCGUAAAGCGUGCGUAGGUGGUUGUUUAAGUCUGUUGUGAAAGCCCUGGGCUCAACCUGGGAACUGCAGUGGAAACUGGACAACUAGAGUGAGGUAGAGGGUAGCGGAAUUCCCGGU
This 603-nucleotide ribosomal RNA is filed under the name uncultured Stenotrophomonas sp. RNAcentral's name for it is "bacterial SSU rRNA". It matches the Rfam family "Bacterial small subunit ribosomal RNA", at positions 78 to 674 of the family's 1533-position model. Lineage: Bacteria; Pseudomonadati; Pseudomonadota; Gammaproteobacteria; Lysobacterales; Lysobacteraceae. The record is from RNAcentral.